AUGCAAUUCUUCGCUCUAUGGAUGAUACUAAAUGAGGUCCAUCUAGACGAGAUCACAGAAGAUGAUAUCCUUUGGAAACACACGACCUGUGGACAAUACUCGGCGGCCUCUGCGUACAGGGCACAGUUCCUAGGGACGGUCCUUAUUUCUCCCUUGGACAAAAUGGUUUGGAAGGUUUGGGCACCCCCCAAAGUCAAUUUUUUUGCUUGGUUGGCCCUUCAAAAAAGAAUUUGGACGGCGGAUAGAUUGGCAAAGCGUGGGUGGCCAAACUGCGAUCCCUGCAAGACGGUGCAAGAAUGCGGACCUCAUCUCUUCUACAAGUGCCGCUACACCCGGCAUCUUUGGUCUUUGGUCAUUGAGAAAUUCUACAUGCAUGGGCUUGACACUUCCGCUUGGUCCUUGUUCGACUCGGUGGAGGAGUGGUGGGCAAGCACCUCUGCCUGA
This 444-nucleotide ribosomal RNA is filed under the name Triticum aestivum (bread wheat). RNAcentral describes it as "partial small subunit ribosomal RNA". Lineage: Eukaryota; Viridiplantae; Streptophyta; Magnoliopsida; Poales; Poaceae. The record is from RNAcentral.